This 468-nucleotide ribosomal RNA is filed under the name uncultured bacterium. Its description in RNAcentral is "partial 16S ribosomal RNA". It matches the Rfam family "Bacterial small subunit ribosomal RNA", at positions 28 to 507 of the family's 1533-position model. The record is from RNAcentral.
GACGAACGCUGGCGGCGUGCUUAACACAUGCAAGUCGAACGGAAAGGCCCUGCUUUUGUGGGGUGCUCGAGUGGCGAACGGGUGAGUAACACGUGAGUAACCUGCCCUUGACUUUGGGAUAACUUCAGGUAACUGGGGCUAAUGCCGGAUAGGAGCUCCUGCUGCAUGGUGGGGGUUGGAAAGUUUCGGCGGUUGGGGAUGGACUCGCGGCUUAUCAGCUUGUUGGUGGGGUAGUGGCUUACCAAGGCGUUGACGGGUAGCCGGCCUGAGAGGGUGACCGGCCACAUUGGGCCUGCGAUACGGCCCAGACUCCUACGGGAGGCAGCAGUGGGGAAUAUUGCACAAUGGGCGGAAGCCUGAUGCAGCAACGCCGCGUGCGGGAUGACGGCCUUCGGGUUGUAAACCGCUUUCGCCUGUGACGAAGCGUGAGUGACGGUAAUGGGUAAAGAAGCACCGGCUAACUACGUG